This 365-nucleotide unclassified non-coding RNA is filed under the name Hevea brasiliensis (rubber tree). The record is from RNAcentral. Lineage: Eukaryota; Viridiplantae; Streptophyta; Magnoliopsida; Malpighiales; Euphorbiaceae.
GAAUUGGUCCCAUUCCGAGCGAGAAUGAAAUAAUCAUGAACACCACCCCAACUACGGACACUAUUCCCAAGACACCAUAGAGGGUAGAAUCCUCAGAUACAUAACCCUUUAGAUAGAAGGCAACGGAGACAAUAAGAAGACUAACAGCCAUUCCAGCCGAGGAAACAAUUAAUAAAAUUCUACGUCCAGUUCUGUCCACCAGCCAUGUAGAAACUGCAGUUGCAACAACCUGUAUAGCACCGACACCAAAAGUUGCAGCAUUACUUGACGAAAUACCGGCAGAUAGGAAAAUGUUGCUGGAAUAGAAUAUAACACCGUUGAUUCCUCCUAACUGUUGCAGGAUAAGUAGUCCAAUUCCUACCAUG